GUGUGUGUGAGAGAGAGAGAGAGAGAGAGAGUUACUCAGGUCACGAUUGAGUUCGCAGAGAGUGAGUGAACCCGGAGGAGGAAAGGAAGCCAUUUUUGGUUCCCGUUAGAGAGAAAGUAUCAUGAUCUUCCAUGACUGAAAGGAACGAAGGAAAAUAACCAGCGUAAAGAUGAUGAGAAGAUGAAAACGCCACUGAUAGAAAGGAAACAGAGGAACGACGUUUUAUUUCUGUAUAUCAGAGGAAAAGCCUAACAAGACGCAGAAGGUUACAAUACAUAAAAGCCAGAAAGGUGUUGCCUCCCUGUGAUUCUAUCAAGAAAGAGUUCUAAGAUCCUCUUUAGGAAUAACAGUGAUUUUUCUUUCAACUGUACAAAAAUACUGUAAUUGGUUCUAUCAGAACCAAAACCUGAGUUCAAGCAAUGAAUUUCUUGCAUAGUCCUAGACACAGGUUCCUCUCACCCUUUACCCUCUUCAUCCAACGCCGAUGGAAGAAACCCACCGUUUCCGCCCAAACCCGUUUGGAGGACAGAGUACGAGACCCCCACUUUGACAAACUCAUGACUCACCUCAACAGACUCUACCUUGUCCUCGAAAUCCACCACCUCAUGUCCACACGCAAGCGCGCUCCCUUCGUCUCCCUCACCCUAAUGUCCCGCUGGAGAAACAUCCUCGGACUCAAUGUCCCUGUGGGCUCCUUCCUCCACAAAUACCCUCAUGUGUUCGACGUGUUCGUCCACCCCUUCAGGAGGAACACGUGCUGCAGGAUCACGAAAAAGAUGAAAGAGUUAAUCUUGCUUGAAGGGGUGGUGGUGAGGCAGCAGGAGAUGGAGGCUGUGAAGAGGGUGAAGAAGCUGCUGAUGAUGUCUGUGAAUGGCACUCUUCGUUUGCACGCUUUGAGGAUGGUCAGGAGGGAACUGGGUCUACCUGAGGAUUUCAGAGACUCCAUUCUUGGGAAAUUCAGUGGGGAUUUUAAAUUGGUUGGUUUGGAGGUUGUGGAAUUGGUUGACUGGGAUGCAGAAUUGGGAUUGGCUGAGGUUGAGAAAUGGAGGGAGAGAGAGUACACAGAGAAGUGGUUGAGUGAGUUUGAGACCAAGUUUGCAUUUCCCAUUGGUUUCCCAACUGGGUUUAAGAUCGAGAGAGGGUUUAGAGAGAGGUUGAAAAAUUGGCAGAGGCUUUCAUACACUAAGCCUUAUGAACGGAAGGAGGUUGUUAGGGUGAGGACAUGUGGUGGGAUUGAACGGUAUGAGAAGAGGGUUGUGGCUGUUCUUCAUGAGCUAUUGAGCUUGACUGUGGAGAAAAUGGUUGAGGUUGAUCAACUGGUUCAUUUUCGUAGAGACCUAGGUAUUGAAGUUAAUGUGCGUGAAUUGCUUUUAAGGCACCCUGGUAUAUUUUACAUAUCAACUAAAGGGAAGACUCUAAUUGUUUUUCUUAGGGAAGCAUAUCGUAAAGGGGGUUUGAUUGAACCGAAUCCUGUGUAUGAGGCACGUAGGAGUAUGUUGGAUCUUGUUCUAUUAGGGUGUAGAAAAACCAGAAAAUUGUUGGUUGGUGACGAGGCUAAGGAAGAGAGUAAUGCUGUAGUCUGUGAAGUGAAUGAGGAAGGUGAAAGACAAGGAGAUUGGGUGAUUCCUUUCUUGGAGAACUGUGAGCAGAGUAGAUCCCCUUGAUGCUGUGUGUAAAGGUAGCAGAUGUAGGAUAUUUGAAGAGAUUACGAAAAUGGUUUCAGGUUUUUGGAGUUCAUUACCUUUGGCUUCUAUUUCCUUGAGCAGUGUUUCAUUUGCAUUCUACUGAUCUCGAUUGAUUUUUCAUGUGGUAGCUAGAUGAAUGGUGGACAAAUAAGCUCCUUUGUGUUAAAUAUGUGCAAUAUCUUUACUGCCUGUGUUGUCUUUGGUUACUUGAAUUAAAGGAUUAUAAAUUAAUGAUGUUCAGUUGUCUUUCCUGUUGUAUUUGUUAUAGGAAAUUACUUCUAUUUACUUAAUGUUUAUUAAUCCAUUGCUUUCUACACCACAUGGAAAAUGAAGACUCAGAAGAUUAUUAGGCGUGGGGUGGAAAAGAUGUAGGGCAUUGAGAAAUCUGAAGUCUAAGUAGUGCAAUGUUACUGCUAUUUACCUUCGAAUUAAAAGCAAACAUGAUUAGACCGACUAUGUCAUUUGCUCAAGACUGCAUGGAAUAGAUCAAGUGCAGUCACUGGACUUGAAGAGGACAAUUGUCUUCACUUUUCUCGGUUUUGCUUUAGUAGGUCCAACAUUAUAGUUUGGUUCUAUCUUUAGGAAAUUUUCUGCCAUGGUCACAUGAGUUUGGAUGAAGGCUGAACGAUUUGUCAAGUCUGUCUCAUUUCCAUUGCUCUUCCUGACAUUUUUUUAGGGAUUUGUAUCUGAGUAAAUUGGUUACACUUCCUGGAGCAUCAGAUGCAUUUUUGCGGCUUGUACUUGAUCAGUUCUUAUUUUCUCCCAUAUUCAUCGAGUUUUCUUAGCUACAUUGGAAAUCCAUCACAAGCUGUACUGUACCUAAGCUAAAACAGGUAUGUUUAACUUACUCGCUUUUGUUAAAACGGAUUCAAAGAGUGGUUAUUAAUGUUGUCAUGUUUAUUAGUGUAUAUUCAUCUACCAAUUUCAUUUUGUAAGAGUGGUUCUCUGCAGUUCAAGCAAACUGGAAACUAUAGAUACCUUUUCAAUUUCUCAACUUCAGAUUUGUUCCAUAACAAUUUCAGGUUAGACUGGUAGACCCCAUGCACACACACUGGGGAUUUUACUUCAACAUAAAUCUAUUCACCACUCCGAUACAUGUUGGCAUUUUAAUAUUGAAGAUCGAUGUCUAAUUUGACUUCACCAGUACUUAAUUUUCUUUCUUGAAAUACAUUUAAGAUAAUCAGGAUUUUAUUUAGUCGAUUGCUCCUUGUGGAAAUUCAUAGUUCUUGAAAAAAGAAUUUUCAAUUGAUCUUUCAAUAGAUACUCUCUCAUACUACCCUUCUAACCCUUUUUUAGCUGAACAACAACGGAAAAAUGAACAUAAUGAAGGAACUUUUUAUUAACAUUUCCAUCUUCAUCUUGCAACAUGUUUGGAUCUCUGGCAUGCAUCUUUAUGUCCCUUGUUUUCAAGUAUUAUAUCAUAUGAAGAUGGGAUGCCGUUUGGCUUUCUUAGUCGGUUGACAUGGCCACCCAGUUGUUCGCAGUUCAUUGUCCCAUUUUUCUAUGUAAAGCAAGCAUUUAAAUUCACACGCAUAUAGUUGAUUUUUAAUUACAUUGAGAAGUUCUCAAAUGCCUAAAAUCAGUGGAAUGGAGCUAUCUUUGGUUAUGCUUGUUGACAUUUCAGAUGGAUAUUUUUCAACUUAACCUACCAGAUUGUAUUUGCUGUUGAUAGUAUUCCUUGGCAAUAGAAUCUAACGUUUUCUUCAAUGUUGUUAUAUUUGCUUCUCCAUUUUAUUAACGUUAUUGUUGAGUUUAAAGUAAAUGGACAUAAUUUCAGGUCCUUGCUGCUAAUGUUAUUGCUUUGGCUUGGAAUGUCAUUCUCUCAUUUAAGGCACACAAAGAGGUUCUUCCAAAAUAGGUAAGCUUUAUUUUCUUACCUUAGGAGUUGAAAUAUACACGAACAUGAGGCAAGAAGAAAUUAAUAGCUUCAUAAUUAAGUAGUUGUAAAGGUGUUAUUUCUGUAAUUAAAAGUGAAAAUACGAUAUUCUUCAAAUGAUCGGCAAUUAUAAAGUUACUCGUUACUAUAAUAUCUACCAGUUCACCUUCAACAAAGAAUUAUUAGGACACUUGGAAAAAAAAUAGAAUAGUUUUGCUGAGUGAUUCAAUAUGUAUUCCCUAACAAAAACCAUCUUGUAAUAGGGUGAUGUACAAGAAAAUCCUAUUAUUAUGGAUGUAUAUAUUUUUCAUUAAAAUUAUAA
This is an RNA transcript of Vigna radiata var. radiata (mung bean), 3883 nucleotides long. It is a transcript of the gene named protein ROOT PRIMORDIUM DEFECTIVE 1, with no coding region annotated. The record is from RefSeq and is a predicted model, not a curated record. The transcript is spliced from 5 exons. NCBI's taxonomy places the organism in Eukaryota, Viridiplantae, Streptophyta, Magnoliopsida, Fabales, Fabaceae.